Silurus meridionalis is the source of this 102-nucleotide small nuclear RNA. The record is from RefSeq and is a predicted model, not a curated record. NCBI's taxonomy places the organism in Eukaryota, Metazoa, Chordata, Actinopteri, Siluriformes, Siluridae.
AUUCCUUCUAGCAUAUCUAAUAAAAUUUAAAUGAUACAGAGAAAAUUAUCAUGGCCCCUGUGUAAGGGUGACAUGCAAGAUCGUGAAGUUAUAGCACAUUUA